AAUUAAUUUAUUCAAAAUUAUUAUCAGAACCAUGAACACAAUACAAAUGACACACUGGAAGUAUUUUCCAACAAUGAGAAAACGAUUAAUACCGGACGCUGAAGUACUGGAUCCUAGGACUUCGUGUCUAACCUAAAUUAUUGAUAUAUGCUAGUGAUGGAUCCUAGGGUUUUCCCUCUAUCUUAAGUUCUUGACAUAUGUUAGUGAUGGUCUAUGGAACGUAAAUAAAAUCUCAAACCAAUAUUUUUUUAUU
This 253-nucleotide long non-coding RNA is filed under the name Lathyrus oleraceus (garden pea). Its description in RNAcentral is "Pisum sativum (pea) long non-coding RNA (PSAT_LNC016297)". The record is from RNAcentral. Lineage: Eukaryota; Viridiplantae; Streptophyta; Magnoliopsida; Fabales; Fabaceae.